This 253-nucleotide ribosomal RNA is filed under the name uncultured bacterium. RNAcentral describes it as "partial 16S ribosomal RNA". It matches the Rfam family "Bacterial small subunit ribosomal RNA", at positions 524 to 776 of the family's 1533-position model. The record is from RNAcentral.
UACGGAGGGCGCGAGCGUUAUCCGGAAUUACUGGGUUUAAAGGGUGCGUAGGCGGCCAUGUAAGUCAGGAGUGAAAGUUUGCGGCUCAACCGUAAAAUUGCUUUUGAUACUGCAUGGCUGGAAUCAGGAUGAGGUCAGCGGAAUGUGGCAUGUAGCGGUGAAAUGCAUAGAUACGCCAUAGAACACCAAUUGCGAAGGCAGCUGGCUAGACCUGUAUUGACGCUGAGGCACGAAAGCGUGGGGAGCGAACAGG